AUGGGCCAAAAAUUCCAUUUACUGCAAAUCACAAAAGUAACUUUGGUUCAUAAUAAAGACAAAAUCAAAAGAGACAAAGUUAUAGCAUUCAGCAAAAGUCAGAAUCGCAACUGUCCAGCCCAAGCAACAAAGUAUCACAGUUACAAAGUAGCUGAAUUGCAAUUUCUAGCCCAAAGCAAUAUAUCAGAAAAUUAUGACAAAGUCAUAAAUGAAAACAAGUCUGAAGCAAGUCAGAAAUUUAACAUAUCAGAUUAUCAAGCCCAACAAACAGAUUCACACAUCUCAGUAAAAACAAAAAAGUGA
This is a non-coding RNA of Vicia faba (fava bean), 303 nucleotides long. NCBI's taxonomy places the organism in Eukaryota, Viridiplantae, Streptophyta, Magnoliopsida, Fabales, Fabaceae. The record is from the annotation of a GenBank genome assembly.